RNAcentral lists this long non-coding RNA (2254 nucleotides) under Mus musculus (house mouse). RNAcentral's name for it is "long non-coding RNA chr10:106931192-106933446". Lineage: Eukaryota; Metazoa; Chordata; Mammalia; Rodentia; Muridae. The record is from RNAcentral.
GAAGACUGAAUCCUAAGGGAAUAAUAUAAGUAACGGUUUACCAAACAUUAAAUAUGUGACUCUGGGGGGAGUUGGGUAUUGAGUCUGAUUAGUUUACUAUGAUUGUAAUAAAAAUGCUUAAGUUAUCUGAUAUAAGAGCAUCAUCUACGUCAUAACUUCCGUACGUCUGAUGCCUUUAUGAGAUGGAACCACUUGUUUUUCUUCAUGUUGUAAUAUAAUAGGCAUUUAUGUAUUGCUGUGUACCAUUUCUUUUUAAAUGUGUAAGUCUUCUGUAAAUGGAUAUAAAUAUGAUUUUUUAAAAAAAUAAAAUAUAUGGUUCAUGGAGUCUCGAGUGCAAACUGAACAAUUCCAAGUACUGUUUGUAUUUUACCAUUUCACCAUUUAUACGGUUUUUUGAAUUGUAAUGGUCAAUCAAUAUGUUCCUUAGAAGUGUGUUUCAUGCUUCGACAUGCUUCUCCUUCAAGUCUGUCAAACCUUAAAGCUGAACACCUGCCUCUGAUCAUGUGAUUAAACCUGGAGCCCAAAAUGACCUUUAAAGGCCAUCAGGGAUGUGACACCCUCUCUCUCUCCUUACAGAAGCACUGUGAUGGCUCAACCUGUUUCAAAAGAAAACAAAGCCAAACUGUUUACAAGAGUCAAAUGCAAUGAUUUUAACAAUUUAUAUUAUGAAAACCAUUACCUAAUUUUGUUGCCUGUGGACCAAGAAACACACACACACACAAACACACAUGCAUAUACACACACUUUACUAAAAACUACAUGUUCAUUCAAAUAGCCAACACUGGACAGUGAAUGUCAACCAUUGUAGAGUCUGAGUUCCAUUUCCACUGGGGUGUGGGGUGGAGGGGCAGAACCCCAUAACCUACCCCCAUUUUAAAAAUCACUGUUAACAGGGCAUUAGCCAGACUCAAGUCUGUUAUUACGAGCCUUUAGCUGAAAUAACCAUUUUUUUGUGACUUCCCUGAAUUCACUUUCAUCAGAGGAAAUAAAGACAGAAUGAUUAACAUAUAUAGUGUAUAAAAAGUAAAGAUGAGUAAUCUCUUCCUUGUGGCUUUAUUCGGUGGUGUCACUGCUGUUUAUUCUUUAUUGAUAUGGGAGAUUUCAAAGUGGAACCUAUUUAAUAAUACCAUUGAUCUGUUUCCCUGCUGCUUGGUCUUAAUGCAAGACCCGUCAUUAGUAAAUUAUUAUUAAUUUUUUGUAUUUCAAUUCGUUGUAUUUGCACGUACAUUUGUUUCGAUGUCUAUUUUUGUUGAACAGAUUCAAUCAAACGGUAAUGGUAACAGAAAACCUCUCCAUUAUCAAUAAAACAACAACAACAACAACAAAUGCCUCCAGUUUCCUGCUUAAGCUUUGUUUUCUAGUAGCCUGACAUUUAACGAUUUAUUUCGAUUACCAAGAAAAUCAUUCAACGAUUUCAAAUGCGAUUCUAUUCAAAAUUGAGUCUGCCACUAGAGGGAGGUCUAAACCAGCUGAUAGAGGUGGCUUGGCUUUUUUUUUUUUUUUUUUUUUAAUGUUGCUUGAGUAAAGACAAUGUGAAAGAACAUUGAAACUCUCGAUUCAUCAAAAUGAAAUAGAUAAGAGAAACUCUGAUACCUGCAUGGCAGAAAGAUUUAUACUCGUAUUUAGAUACCUGUGUGACAAACAGUUGUGCAUAGCUGUAGUGCAACCCUUGUGAUAAUUAACUUACAAGGAAGAACAUUUUAUUUUGUCCCAGCGCAUUUGAUGUUCCGUCUCAAGAACCGGCAGUCUGCAGGCUUUGGGGUCGAGUGGCGUGGUCGGAAGCCUGUACCAGAGGAAACUGUUCACUUCCUUGACAGGAGACAUGGAGCCCGGUGCUGCUGCUGCUCAGCUCGGGACACAUAAGAGGGCACAUUUCUGUGACCUGAACACUUAGCAUCAGCAUUAUCCUGGCCACGCAUUCAGCACAGAAGCUUUUGGGGGAAUAAUCAAUAUCCAAUUAGGUAAACCACUCACACUGUCACCUAAAGCAGUCUCGUCUUUUUAGAAAUCACCUACAAAAUACUGAUCAUCUGUCAUAGACCCCGAUAGUGUGAUACAAAGUAUCAAAUUACUUUCCUUGAGAAUUAUGUAAAAUAUUGCUUAAUGUAUAAGAAAAUUGUAGUCAGCUAUAUUUCUGGGUGUUUUGGUUUUGGUUUUCCCCUUUAGCCAUCAAUGUUAGGAAUUCAAACAUGUUAGAAUAUCAGAUCGGACCCUUUCAAACACAACUUUAUAUAAGUAAAACAACCUUUUGGCG